AACGAACGCUGGCGGCAUGCCUAACACAUGCAAGUCGAACGAGACCUUCGGGUCUAGUGGCGCACGGGUGCGUAACGCGUGGGAAUCUGCCCUUGGGUUCGGGAUAACAGUUGGAAACGACUGCUAAUACCGGAUGAUGACUUCGGUCCAAAGAUUUAUCGCCCAGGGAUGAGCCCGCGUAGGAUUAGCUUGUUGGUGAGGUAAGAGCUCACCAAGGCGACGAUCCUUAGCUGGUCUGAGAGGAUGAUCAGCCACACUGGGACUGAGACACGGCCCAGACUCCUACGGGAGGCAGCAGUGGGGAAUAUUGCACAAUGGGCGAAAGCCUGAUGCAGCAACGCCGCGUGCAUGAUGAAGGCCU
This 361-nucleotide ribosomal RNA is filed under the name uncultured bacterium. RNAcentral describes it as "bacterial SSU rRNA". It matches the Rfam family "Bacterial small subunit ribosomal RNA", at positions 29 to 417 of the family's 1533-position model. The record is from RNAcentral.